This 253-nucleotide ribosomal RNA is filed under the name uncultured bacterium. Its description in RNAcentral is "partial 16S ribosomal RNA". It matches the Rfam family "Bacterial small subunit ribosomal RNA", at positions 524 to 776 of the family's 1533-position model. The record is from RNAcentral.
UACGUAGGGGGCUAGCGUUGUCCGGAAUCAUUGGGCGUAAAGAGCGUGUAGGCGGCCCGGUAAGUCCGCUGUGAAAGUCGGGGGCUCAACCCUCGAAUGCCGGUGGAUACUGUCGGGCUAGAGUGCGGAAGAGGCGAGUGGAAUUCCUGGUGUAGCGGUGAAAUGCGCAGAUAUCAGGAGGAACACCGAUUGCGAAGGCAGCUCGCUGGGACGUCACUGACGCUGAGGCGCGAAAGCGUGGGGAGCAAACAGG